GGAGACAUAGCUCAGCUGGGAGAGCGAGCGACUGAAGUUCAGUCAUCAGACCUGGCGUGGAUCAAAAUAUGGUUCACGCUUGGACAUCGCUAGGUCGGGUGUUCAAUCCACUCUGGCUCCA
Molecule: non-coding RNA, 121 nt
Organism: Apiotrichum porosum
Lineage: Eukaryota; Fungi; Basidiomycota; Tremellomycetes; Trichosporonales; Trichosporonaceae
Source: the annotation of a RefSeq genome assembly